RNAcentral lists this ribosomal RNA (882 nucleotides) under Candidatus Phytoplasma citri. Its description in RNAcentral is "bacterial SSU rRNA". It matches the Rfam family "Bacterial small subunit ribosomal RNA", at positions 366 to 1254 of the family's 1533-position model. The record is from RNAcentral. Lineage: Bacteria; Bacillati; Mycoplasmatota; Mollicutes; Acholeplasmatales; Acholeplasmataceae.
CGGCAAUGGAAACUCUGACCGAGCAACGCCCGCGGCAUGACGAAAUACUUCAGUACUUAAAGUCCUUUUAUCGAGGAAGAAAAGCAAAUGGCGAACCAUUUGUUGGCCGGUACUUGAUGAAUAAGCCCCGGCUAAUUAUGUGCCAGCAGCCGCGGUAAGACAUAAGGGGCAAGUGUUAUCCGGAAUUAUUGGGCGUAAAGGGUGCGUAGGCGGUCUAGUAAGUCAGUGGUGUAAUGGCAACGCUUAACGUUGUCCGGCUAUUGAAACUGCUAAACUUGAGUUAGAUAGAGGCGAGUGGAAUUCCAUGUGUAGCGGUAAAAUGCGUAAAUAUAUGGAGGAACACCAGAGGCGUAGGCGGCUCGCUGGGUCUUAACUGACGCUGAGGCACGAAAGCGUGGGGAGCAAACAGGAUUAGAUACCCUGGUAGUCCACGCCGUAAACGAUGAGUACUAAGUGUCGGGUUAAACCGGUACUGAAGUUAACACAUUAAGUACUCCGCCUGAGUAGUACGUACGCAAGUAUGAAACUUAAAGGAAUUGACGGGACUCCGCACAAGCGGUGGAUCAUGUUGUUUAAUUCGAAGAUACCCGAAAAACCUUACCAGGUCUUGACAUGUUUUUGCAAAAUGAUAGUAAUAUCGUGGAGGUUACCAGAAACACAGGUGGUGCAUGGUUGUCGUCAGCUCGUGUCGUGAGAUGUUAGGUUAAGUCCUAAAACGAGCGAAACCCUUAUCAAUUAGUUGCCAGCACGUUAUGGUGGGGACUUUAACGCUGUCUCCUAAUCAUAAAUUGGAGGCGAGGUGCAGGAUCACGUCAAAUCAGCAUGCCCCUUAUGACCUGGGCUACAAACGUGAUACAAUGGCUGUUACAAAGGGUAGCUGAA